UUGCGGGAGCAUAAUAUUUUCACAAAACGAGUUCAACUUACAUAUACCAUUUAAUCAAAGUAUGAUUUUAAUUAAAAUAAAAUUAUUUUUUAUAUUUAAAAUAAAUUCCCCUUGCACGGAUUUUAUUACUAGUAUAUUUCUUAUAUGGAAUGAUAUGAAAACUUGGUGCCUAAUCAUUUUAAAUUAGAAAAUACUUUAAAGAGAGUAUUAUUUUAAAAUUAUGAUUUGGGGGUAGUCAUGAAAAAUAUAAAAAAAAAUAUUUAAUCCAACACCCAUAUCCAUUGUAAAACAGACAAGUGCAUAUUGAGAUUUCACAGAAUUAGUAAUCCAACUUAGUCCGACUGAAUUUGUUAUCCUAUCUUAAAUCCGAUUAGAUUUCUAAUCUGUCAAAUUCAAUCUCCAAAAUAAACAUGACCAUAAAUUAUUAAACCAAAUUUGAUUGUAGGACUAUAAUUCGUAGAAUAAGAGUAGUAAGGAUUCUUAAUCACGGGACAUUCAAUGUAAGAAUAAAACUUGUCUCUAAAUUUGGUUGGAGAGAUGAAGAGUGGGGGCUCACAUAAUUUACUACUCAUAACUAGAAUUAGAAAACCCACUAAUAGGAUUUAAUAGCAUUAAAUUGGUUUAAGGAGCUAUAAUCGCACCUUAUGAUUGUACACUAAACACAGGAUAAAUUUCUACAUCUUUGCUUAGUUUAAAAAAUGAAUCGACAAUGCAAAUUAUUUAUCAAAAAAAUGUGAAUGUACUAAACGAAUUAUUAAACUUCUAUAUAUUUGUUUCUUUUUUCUCUCUUUUUCAUUUUUUACUAAAAGGAUAUUGUACUUAGUGCACCAAUCUCCGACUUAAAAGCAAGCAGGGUGAAAAAGUAUCAAAUAGGUA
RNAcentral lists this long non-coding RNA (876 nucleotides) under Actinidia chinensis (golden kiwifruit). Its description in RNAcentral is "long non-coding RNA (ACHI_LNC000482)". The record is from RNAcentral. Lineage: Eukaryota; Viridiplantae; Streptophyta; Magnoliopsida; Ericales; Actinidiaceae.